GUGACCUCGGAUCAGCAGGAUACCCGCUGAACUUAAUCAUAUCGUAACC
Molecule: ribosomal RNA, 49 nt
Filed under: Lasiodiplodia theobromae
Lineage: Eukaryota; Fungi; Ascomycota; Dothideomycetes; Botryosphaeriales; Botryosphaeriaceae
Description: partial 28S ribosomal RNA
Source: RNAcentral